This 25-nucleotide non-coding RNA is filed under the name Mus musculus (house mouse). Lineage: Eukaryota; Metazoa; Chordata; Mammalia; Rodentia; Muridae. The record is from RNAcentral.
UUAGGAUCAGGUUUAGAGAAGAAGC